Oncorhynchus masou masou (cherry salmon) is the source of this 1359-nucleotide long non-coding RNA. RefSeq lists it as uncharacterized. NCBI's taxonomy places the organism in Eukaryota, Metazoa, Chordata, Actinopteri, Salmoniformes, Salmonidae. The record is from RefSeq and is a predicted model, not a curated record. The transcript is spliced from 5 exons.
GCACUGGGGUGCCGGGAACUGUAGAGCACGAGGGGUUUUGACUAAACGAAAACUAACUGUAUUCCCGUCUCCUGUCUGGUCAUUUCUUCACAACACAAAUAUUACAUUUGUGACAUUGCUUCUAUUAUGGAGCUCGCGCUUUGGCAGUUGAGAGUAGUUUGCCAAGUGAGCCAACAGCAAGACAGAAGCACCGACAUAAAUACAUGUUUUUCUUUAUUUUGAAGGGGGUCCCUGAUGAAUUCGCUAUCACAAAAGGGGUGGUCCCCGAUGCAAAGAAAUUUGGGAACCCCUGAUCGAGGUAUCUCACCCUGGACUCCAGUUUCUGGAGCUGCUUCUUGCCUCCCUUCAUGGCCAGAUUCUCAGCCUCAUCCAGGCGGUGCUGCAGGUCCUUGACUGUGACCUCCAGGUUCUUCUUCAUCCUCUCCAGAUGCGACUUGGAGCGCCAGGUCGUUCUUCUCUUGUGUCAGGGCCACCAACUUCUCCUCCAUUUGCUUCUUUGUGGCCAGAGCCUUGGCCAGGUCUGUCGUCAUCUUAUCAUAGUUCUCCUUCAUGUUGGCCAGCUCCUUCUCAGUCUCAGCGCUCUGCAGCAGGGGCUUGAUCUUGAAGUACAACUUCAUCCAUGGCCAGGUUUUGACAUUCAUGAAUGAGCGGAUGUUGUACUGGAUGGCGUAAACUGAUUCUCUGAUCGACAGAAAGAAUAGAGUGUCAUGGUGAGUGACAUGCUUAAAGCUACACUCUGUGACUCGAAGAACAACAAAAUGGCCCCCCUCCAAUGUUUGUUUACAGCAGAGGAAUGGGGCUUGAGAAAUGUAACCCCUCUUAAAUACAUAGACAGCUCUCUAGAUGCAAGUACUGACUGUUCAUGCAUUCUAAGCUCAUGAGGCAUUUUAUAUACUUCAAGAAUGAAUGGGUAAAUUCCACAAAUGUAAAUGACAAUUGAACAGCCAAGUCUCAAACUCCAACUAUUAAGCUAGAAUCCUUAGUUGCUACAUCCAUUUCUGGACUAAAUUAAUUAACCCAAAAGCUGUAGUAGACCAUUAUAAGAUGUACUUUCUCAUUCUGAACAACUCACAGCAUAUACAGUAUGUCAUCAUAAUGCAUUAGAUACAAGUGGUUGACAGAAAGCUUUGCCAAGAUGUCUACUAUUCCUCACCUCCUCUCCAUCAUCUUGGUGAACUCUCUCCUCAUGAGGAAUCCACGACUGAGAGCCUGGACCAUGCCGACCAGAGUGGCCAGCUUCUCAUCUCUCAUCUCCUCCAGGACACCCAGCAGACCGGCUUUGAAGAACACCUGAAACACAGUUAAAUGAAGAAGAAAGAACAAAAGGAUGGAUAGAUAAACUGGAGAGAUUUUCUAUGU